Oncorhynchus tshawytscha (Chinook salmon) is the source of this 1000-nucleotide long non-coding RNA. The record is from Ensembl. NCBI's taxonomy places the organism in Eukaryota, Metazoa, Chordata, Actinopteri, Salmoniformes, Salmonidae.
AGCAUAAAGAGUCUUUAAACAGGAGCUCUGCAUCCACCUGAACACAUCCUGUCCUACUCUCAGAUAGAUGGUGAACGUAACCUAACAAGGUCAGGAGGGAGCAUCAUGAUGACCAUGGACAACACUGUUGGUCUGAGGUGUGUUCUCAACCCCAGAGAGGUGUUCAACAGCAUUAACCAGUCUUUCCAGGUUGUUGUUGAUGGAUGACAGCAAGGGCUGCAGCACUCUCUCCAUGCUGCUCCUCAUACUGACCAGCUCCCUCUGUAACAUGUCGUAACCUUGGCGAUGCACCUGGACCAGUGCUGCCAGGUCCUGAGGAGGUAGCUGGACCUGCAUGUGUGGUUGGACCUCAAUCAAAGGAAUGUGGACCGUAGGUUGGUUCACUUGGGGUAUGUUCGUCUGAGGCUGCACAGUGGACUGGGGCAUAUAGGCCUGUGAUUGGUUUGCUUGGGGUAUAUAGGCCUGUGAUAGGUUGGCUUGGGCUAGAGUAGCCUUUGAUUGGUUCGCUUGGGUUAUAUAGGCCUGUGAUAUGUUGGCUUGGGGUAGAGUAGUCUGCUGUGGCAGUGGCACUACUUGGGGUAUGUUUACGUGGAAUGGAGCAUAACCUUGAAGCAAACCAUCAGCCUGGGGUUGAACAGUGACCGGGUGUGUAUUGGUUUGGGGUUGAAGGGUGCCCUGAGACUGAGGGAUGUGGACAGUUCCAGUCACUUGAGGUGUGCUGAUCUGGGUACCAGUUUCAAGGUUCAAUCUCACUACGUUCACCCGGGGUUGGAGGUUGGUUUGGGGUAAAGUGGGCCUGGGUGAAGUGGCAGGCGUGUGUGUCUGGGGUGGAGGGACUCUGCUGGCCUCAGACGAUGCUGCAGCGUCCAGAGUCUGUUGACCAUCAACCAGGUGGUUAGUCGAGGGACUGUCCAGCUCCACCCCAAUGCAUUGGGAACCAACUUCAUUCUGAAACGCUAGGGAAGAAAAAAUAAGCUAUAUUUAGUGUUCCUUACAUACU